AUUAAACAUGAGAGUUUGAUCCUGGCUCAGGAUGAACGCUGGCGGCGUGCUUAACACAUGCAAGUCGAACGAAGC
RNAcentral lists this ribosomal RNA (75 nucleotides) under Pseudobutyrivibrio sp. RNAcentral describes it as "partial 16S ribosomal RNA". It matches the Rfam family "Bacterial small subunit ribosomal RNA", at positions 1 to 72 of the family's 1533-position model. Lineage: Bacteria; Bacillati; Bacillota; Clostridia; Lachnospirales; Lachnospiraceae. The record is from RNAcentral.